Molecule: ribosomal RNA, 317 nt
Filed under: Salinivibrio sp. PR6
Lineage: Bacteria; Pseudomonadati; Pseudomonadota; Gammaproteobacteria; Vibrionales; Vibrionaceae
Description: bacterial LSU rRNA
Rfam family: Bacterial large subunit ribosomal RNA
Source: RNAcentral
ACAGUUCGGUCCCUAUCUGCCGUGGGCGUUGGAUGAUUGAGGGGAGCUGCUCCUAGUACGAGAGGACCGGAGUGGACGAACCGCUGGUGUUCGGGUUGUGUCGCCAGACGCAUUGCCCGGUAGCUAAGUUCGGCACAGAUAAGCGCUGAAAGCAUCUAAGCGCGAAGCUGGCCCCGAGAUGAGUCAUCCCUAGAGCUUYGAGCUCUCUAAAGGGUUGUUCUAGACUAGAACGUUGAUAGGCAGGGUGUGUAAGCGCUGUGAGGCGUUGAGCUAACCUGUACUAAUUGCCCGUGAGGCUUAACCAUACAACACCCAAG